RNAcentral lists this long non-coding RNA (437 nucleotides) under Rattus norvegicus (Norway rat). RNAcentral's name for it is "long non-coding RNA NONRATT022967". The record is from RNAcentral. Lineage: Eukaryota; Metazoa; Chordata; Mammalia; Rodentia; Muridae.
GGCCUAGAUCCAUAUAACCACUGUCUCCAUAACUUAGGUGUAUACAGCAAUCCUUAUGGUUAUCUGCCAAGGGGCUCAGGGCUCUGGAAGGUGAAUAGGGUCUGGAGGCUUCUGUGGGGUUUGAGCUGUCUUUAGGUGUGCAGCCUAGUCUUGGGGCAUCUCUUUGGAUUGGGCUGACACUCUGUGGGUAGAUUUUCCAACAGGUGGACUUCAAUAAGCGGCCAGGCCGCAUGAGCUCCAAGCCCAUCAACUUCUCUGUGAUCUUGAAGCUGUCCAGCACCAACCUGCAGGAGAAGGCAUACCGGGAUGGUCUGCUGGAACAGCUGUAUGACCUUAUUAUGGAAUACCUGCACGGCCAGGCCCACAGCAUCGCUUUCCCGGAGUUGGUGCUGCCUACUGUUCUACAGCUGAAAUCUUUUCUCCGGGAGUGCAAAGUG